UUGAGUAGUGAGCUGCCGGAAAUUAAAUGUGGACAUCUGAAAAUGACUCACCAAAAUGGAAUAGCUCUGAAAAAACACCUCUGUGUCGAUACGUUGAAUACCCAAAGUAGCUAGGUAUUGCCAAAAGAGGAUAGGGAUUUAUUCUUGGGAGAAGGGCUCUAGGCAAUAGAUAUUUGACUUUUCUGCAAUUGGCACAGUUUCCAAUAAAUUUUCAAAAAAAGCAUGAAUCGAAGAUGAAGUCCCAGCUUGAUGUUCAAUCACCGGUGGUUUGCUAAAAAAGGUAUUUUGAGUUAUGGUUUAACUAGAAACUAGGUUUGAUGUGUUAUUUGGGCUAGUGGUUUGGUUCCCUUUUGUUUUUGUAGGGUUCCCGGCCAGCAUGUUAUUAAUAAGAGGGAAAUUUGGGUUGGUAAGUUUAUUGGCGAAGGGAAGGCUUCGGGUGGAUAUUAUUAUCAGUAAGGGGGGUGUUUGGGUAUUGUUGACCAAGGCACUACUGUAUGGCAGUAGGGAGUUAAAUGUGAGAAUAUUUGUUAGGGCUGGGUGAUGGUAGAAUGAGAAAUUUUAGAAGUGUCUUUCAGGGUAGGCUCGAGAUCUUUUGGGUACAAGGCUGUAGACAAGGAAAGUUUAGUGGGGGGAGAAGGCAUGAUAGAUGCUUCAAUAUGGUGUGUCCUUAGAGAAGGGAUAGAAGUGGGAAUCUGUGGUUUAAGAUUCCUAGUAAAGGAAGGUGCUUUAAGCCAGGGACCAUACAUGGUUUUGGUAAUUGGGUUUGCAGAGGAAGAUGGUUACGUCUGAAUAGUUUUGCAAGUCCUAUUCAAAUGACCUAUUAUCCCACAACCGUAACUAAAUUCUAGUAGUUUCUCAAACUUAAAAUGAUGUCUCCAAUGAGUUGAGCAUUUUUUACAGUGAUCUAGUUUAGUGGUAGUCCAUAGGCAUGGACCCAAAGAGGUGAAUGAGUGAAGAUCAGCUCCUCUAGCAACUUGUCUAGUGGCCAUUCUCUUAUGGAGAUAUGCUGAUUUUGUAUAGACCAAGGUCAGUUCUCCAACACGUAUUUGGCAUCAACUUCAUGGUCAAAGGUGAAAAGCAGAAUUUUGUUUCUAUUGGCUGUUACUUGGAAGGCACAUUGCGUGAGCCAAGAUUUUUCUCAAGUUGCUCGAACAGUAUGAACAUUGAGGUUCUUUUCUGUAGUAACUUUCCCUCCUAGCAUUUUGUUUUGCUGAUGUUGCCAUGUCCCAUAUUCUGGUACAGUUGUUAGUUUGAGUAUUGUAUCUCUGCAGUUUAGAUUUUUGCUUUUUGAGUACGUGCAGUCACGUUUGUCUCAAAAUUAUGCAUGGUGAUGAGCAAUAAGUGAUGGUAGUAAAGAAGGACAGAGGAGGUUAAGGGGAAUAAAUGAGAAGUAGAUAGGGGAAAGUAUUAUUAAAAAGAUGAAGGAAGAUGGGGACGAAGGGAAAAACAGUAAAAAAGAAGGAGAAAAGAGAUUUAAUGGAUAAAGAAACAUUGAAAAUUUAAUCGGAGAUUGAAGGAAGAUAGGCUUCCUAGUUUCCAUAGCCCAGAGCCGGAAAGAGCACCAUUUCUCUUGGUCAACCACUUUUGUUUUUACCAAAUAUAUGGUGAACUAGGAAAGAAACAGCAUAAGUUUCAGAUGUUGGGUUUCGGUUUUAGCAUGCUCUAUUUAAGAAUUCGAAUCAAAAUUAUAAAUGUUUGAUUCUUAGGAAUCAGACUUGGAAUUAAAUUUCAGUUUCGAUUUAAUUGUAAGUAAUUUUAGUGUGAUUUUGAUUUUAGUCUAAUUUUAAUUUUAAUUUGAGUUUCGAUCUAAAUCUCAAUUUUUACAUAAAAG
RNAcentral lists this unclassified non-coding RNA (1831 nucleotides) under Hevea brasiliensis (rubber tree). Lineage: Eukaryota; Viridiplantae; Streptophyta; Magnoliopsida; Malpighiales; Euphorbiaceae. The record is from RNAcentral.